AGAGUUUGAUCAUGGCUCAGAUUGAACGCUAGCGGGAUGCCUUACACAUGCAAGUCGAACGGCAGCGCGGACUUCGGUCUGGCGGCGAGUGGCGAACGGGUGAGUAAUGUAUCGGAACGUGCCUAGUAGCGGGGGAUAACUACUCGAAAGAGUAGCUAAUACCGCAUACGUCCUACGGGGGGAAGGGGGGGAUCGCAAGACCUCUCACUAUUAGAGCGGCCGAUAUCGGAUUAGCUAGUUGGUGAGGUAAAGGCUCACCAAGGCGACGAUCCGUAGCUGGUUUGAGAGGACGACCAGCCACACUGGGACUGAGACACGGCCCAGACUCCUACGGGAGGCAGCAGUGGGGAAUUUUGGACAAUGGGGGAAACCCUGGUCCAGCCAUUCCGCGUGUGCGAUGAAGGCCUUCGGGUUGUAAAGCACUUUUGGCAGGAAAGAAAUCGCAUCAAUUAAUACUUGGUGUGGAUGACGGUACCUGCAGAAUAAGCACCGGCUAACUACGUGCCAGCAGCCGCGGUAAUACGUAGGGUGCAAGCGUUAAUCGGAAUUACUGGGCGUAAAGCGUGCGCAGGCGGUU
RNAcentral lists this ribosomal RNA (577 nucleotides) under uncultured bacterium. Its description in RNAcentral is "bacterial SSU rRNA". It matches the Rfam family "Bacterial small subunit ribosomal RNA", at positions 8 to 580 of the family's 1533-position model. The record is from RNAcentral.